Molecule: ribosomal RNA, 497 nt
Filed under: uncultured bacterium
Lineage: Bacteria
Description: partial 16S ribosomal RNA
Rfam family: Bacterial small subunit ribosomal RNA
Source: RNAcentral
GAUGAACGCUGGCGGCGUGCCUAAUACAUGCAAGUCGAGCGAACGGACGAGAAGCUUGCUUUUCUGAUGUUAGCGGCGGACGGGUGAGUAACACGUGGAUAACCUACCUAUAAGACUGGGAUAACUUCGGGAAACCGGAGCUAAUACCGGAUAAUAUUUUGAACCGCAUGGUUCAAAAGUGAAAGACGGUCUUGCUGUCACUUAUAGAUGGAUCCGCGCUGUAUUAGCUAGUUGGUAAGGUAACGGCUUACCAAGGCAACGAUGCAUAGCCGACCUGAGAGGGUGAUCGGCCACACUGGAACUGAGACACGGUCCAGACUCCUACGGGAGGCAGCAGUAGGGAAUCUUCCGCAAUGGGCGAAAGCCUGACGGAGCAACGCCGCGUGAGUGAUGAAGGUCUUCGGAUCGUAAAACUCUGUUAUUAGGGAAGAACAUAUGUGUAAGUAACUGUGCACAUCUUGACGGUACCUAAUCAGAAAGCCACGGCUAACUACGUG